GGGUCCCAGGGGAGCUGGGUGGGUGGGGCAGGCGGGUGGCCUGGGGCUGCGACCUGGUGGGGCUGGUCCUCUGCACUGGGAGCCAGGCAGUGUCCCCUGUCCUGGCCUAGUUGCCCCAGGGCUCCCCAGACCUGGGUCCCAAGGUCUCCCCUCUGGUCUGUGUGCCUGGACACCCCAAGUUGUUGUCCUGUGGUUGGGGACCGCGGCGGACUGAGCUGUUCACCACCUGGUGUGGCUGCGACGGUGGACACUCGCUCCUCGCCUGUCACCUGCUGCAGUGGGGGAGGGGUUGGUCUCACCCCAGGGACGUCCACGAGUGGGAGGAGGAAGCCCGGUGGCGCUGCGGGACCUGCCCUGCCAGCCACUCCCUCCUGCUCCAGGGUUCCAGGCAGUGCGCAAGCUGCCUGGCCAGCGCGGAGGCCUCCAGCCCGACGGCCAUUCCACCUGCUGCCUGGGCCCAGGUCCGUCCUGCGCGGCCCGUAAUUGAAUCUCCUGUCGCUGCCCAGAAACAGUAAUUGCUCCAGGAAAUGCCGCUGCUGACGCUCUUAUGACAGCCUGGUCCCUGGCCCUGGCCGGCACGGUGCCCUGCAGUCCCCAAGUCUGAGGCGCAGGCGGGGCUGCAGCGGCCUCUGGUGGCCGAGUGUGCUCUGACACCGGCCCUCCUGGCCCUGCCCUGCCCCUCGGGCUGCCCCGAGCCUCCCGGGGAUACUCAGGUGUGGCAGGAAGCUGAGCACACAGGACCACGCAAGAGCCCUGCGCCUGCCUGCAGGUAGCCCGCGUGCUCGUGGGGGCAGAUGUGGCACAGCAUGACAAGCGCUAUGAAGGGGAACCACAGGUCUGACUGCGCAGGUGAGGAUGCCGGGGUGUGGCCCAGGGGCGCCGGAGGCGGCUGGCCCAGCACCUGCGCCCGUCUGCCUGGAGCCCGGGCCAAGGCCGCAGAGA
Molecule: non-coding RNA, 942 nt
Organism: Microcebus murinus (gray mouse lemur)
Lineage: Eukaryota; Metazoa; Chordata; Mammalia; Primates; Cheirogaleidae
Source: RefSeq, a predicted model, not a curated record